RNAcentral lists this ribosomal RNA (659 nucleotides) under Cystocoleus ebeneus. RNAcentral describes it as "bacterial SSU rRNA". It matches the Rfam family "Bacterial small subunit ribosomal RNA", at positions 445 to 1143 of the family's 1533-position model. The record is from RNAcentral. Lineage: Eukaryota; Fungi; Ascomycota; Dothideomycetes; Mycosphaerellales; Cystocoleaceae.
AAUAAAAUUCUGGAUAGAUAAUUGAUGAUGACAAACUUCUAUUCGCAUGUCUUGACCAAUUCUUGUGCCAGCAGUCCCGGCAACACAAGUGAGACUAGUGUUAUUCAUCUUUAUUAGGUUUAAAGGUACCUAGACGGCAUUUUUUGCUAUAUAAAAGAAUAUUUUUGCUAGAGUUUAAUGUGGGAGGUAAAUAUUAGGACUAUUUGUGUAAAGAUGAAAUUUUUUGAUACUAAUAAAAUGUGUAAUGGCGAAGGCAACCCUCUAUGUAUAAACUGACGUUAAGGGACGAAGGCUUGGGGAGCAAAUAGGAUUAGAUACCCUAGUAGUCCAGGCAGAAAAUUAUGAAUGUUAUAGACUAAGUGAAAGCUGGUGUAUAAAUGAAAGUGCAAGCAUUCCACCUCAAGAGUAGUGUGGCAACACAGGAACUGAAAUCAUUAGGCCGUUUCUGAAACCAAUAGUGAAGUAUGUUAUUUAAUUCGGUAGUCCUCGAAAAACCUUACCACAUCUUGAAUGAUAUUUAUAUUAAUAUUACAAGCGUUGCAUGGUUGUCUAAAGCUAAUAUCGUGAGAUUUUGAUUAAAUUCAUUAAAUUGGCGUAAUCCCUUACUUUAUUUACUCAUAAAUAACUGUAGUUCACCGCUAUAUUGGAUUUCAUAACAG